Molecule: ribosomal RNA, 274 nt
Filed under: uncultured bacterium
Lineage: Bacteria
Description: partial 16S ribosomal RNA
Rfam family: Bacterial small subunit ribosomal RNA
Source: RNAcentral
AUACGGAGGGUGCAAGCGUUAAUCGGAAUUACUGGGCGUAAAGCGUACGUAGGCGGCAAGUUAAGUUAGAUGUGAAAGCCCCGGGCUCAACCUGGGAACUGCAUUUAAAACUGGCUUGCUAGAGUUGAGUAGAGGGGAGUGGAAUUUCAGGUGUAGCGGUGAAAUGCGUAGAGAUCUGAAGGAACACCAGUGGCGAAGGCGACUCCCUGGACUCGAACUGACGCUGAGGUACGAAAGCGUGGGUAGCAAACGGAAUUAGAAACCCUUGUAGUCC